UCGGGUUUCAACCCUCGGGAGUGCUUCCCACAAAGGCGAAAAUAUAGAUUGUAGUAGGGGACUAGUAAAAUCUCGUGUGUCGCGAGAUGUGUUGAUAUAGAUAGGGCAGCACUGUCGCAGGGGUGUACUGGGUGUGACCCUCACUUUGAGGCGAUAAAGUGUGGAGACAACACAGGUUGAUACCCUGGCAAGUGCGGUCCGUACGAGAUGUAACCCAGCCGUCGGGACCCCAGAGAUUUCAGUGGCGCAGUUCACACUUUAAGUUGACCGCUUGGGGAGUACGUCCCCAGGUUUAAACCUCAAAUGAAUCAUCGGAGUCACGCACAAGCGGUGGAGCAUGUGGUUUAAUUUGAAGCAACGUGAAGAACCUUACCAGGCCUUGACAUCCAAUGAACUUUCCAGAGAUGGAUUGGUGCCUUCGGGAACAUUGAGACAGGUGCUGCAUGGCUGUCGUCAGCUCGUGUCGUGAGAUGUUGGGUUAAGUCCCGUAACGAGCGCAACCCUUGUCCUUAGUUACCAGCACGUAAUGGUGGGCACUCUAAGGAGACUGCCGGUGACAAACCGGAGGAAGGUGGGGAUGACGUCAAGUCAUCAUGGCCCUUACGGCCUGGGCUACACACGUGCUACAAUGGUCGGUACAAAGGGUUGCCAAGCCGCGAGGUGGAGCUAAUCCCAUAAAACCGAUCGUAGUCCGGAUCGCAGUCUGCAACUCGACUGCGUGAAGUCGGAAUCGCUAGUAAUCGUGAAUCAGAAUGUCACGGUGAAUACGUUCCCGGGCCUUGUACACACCGCCCAGUCGACACCAUGGGAGUGGGUUGCACCAGAAGUAGCUAGUCUAACCCCUCCGGGGGGAAAGGA
RNAcentral lists this ribosomal RNA (858 nucleotides) under Pseudomonas sp. RNAcentral describes it as "bacterial SSU rRNA". It matches the Rfam family "Bacterial small subunit ribosomal RNA", at positions 603 to 1455 of the family's 1533-position model. Lineage: Bacteria; Pseudomonadati; Pseudomonadota; Gammaproteobacteria; Pseudomonadales; Pseudomonadaceae. The record is from RNAcentral.